GUCCUAGCUGUAAACAAUGGAUACUAGAUGUUGAACAGAUCGACCUGUGCAGUAUUAAAGCUAACGCGUUAAGUAUCCCGCCUGGGAAGUAUGCUCGCAAGAGUGAAACUCAAAAGGAAUUGACGGGGGCCCGCACAAGCGGUGGAGCAUGUGGUUUAAUUCGAUGCAACGCGAAGAACCUUACCAGGGUUUGACAUGAUACGAAUUUUUUUGAAAGAAAAAAGUGCCGUUUGGAACGUAUACACAGGUGGUGCAUGGCUGUCGU
This 265-nucleotide ribosomal RNA is filed under the name uncultured bacterium. RNAcentral describes it as "partial 16S ribosomal RNA". It matches the Rfam family "Bacterial small subunit ribosomal RNA", at positions 793 to 1055 of the family's 1533-position model. The record is from RNAcentral.